UUUCCAGACUCCUACGGGAGGCAGCAGUGAGGAAUAUUGGUCAAUGGGCGGGAGCCUGAACCAGCCAAGUCGCGUGAAGGAUGAAGGAUCUAUGGUUUGUAAACUUCUUUUAUAUGGGAAUAAAGUGAGGAACGUGUUCCUUUUUGUAUGUACCAUAUGAAUAAGCAUCGGCUAACUCCGUGCCAGCAGCCGCGGUAAUACGGAGGAUGCGAGCGUUAUCCGGAUUUAUUGGGUUUAAAGGGUGCGUAGGCGGGCUUUUAAGUCAGCGGUAAAAAUUCGGGGCUCAACCCCGUCCGGCCGUUGAAACUGGGGGCCUUGAGUGGGCGAGAAGAAGGCGGAAUGCGUGGUGUAGCGGUGAAAUGCAUAGAUAUCACGCAGAACCCCGAUUGCGAAGGCAGCCUUCCGGCGCCCUACUGACGCUGAGGCACGAAAGUGCGGGGAUCGAACAGGAUUAGAUACCCGCGUAAG
RNAcentral lists this ribosomal RNA (468 nucleotides) under uncultured bacterium. Its description in RNAcentral is "bacterial SSU rRNA". It matches the Rfam family "Bacterial small subunit ribosomal RNA", at positions 328 to 793 of the family's 1533-position model. The record is from RNAcentral.